This 192-nucleotide microRNA precursor is filed under the name Oryza nivara. RNAcentral's name for it is "MIR812 microRNA precursor family". It matches the Rfam family "MIR812 microRNA precursor family". The record is from Rfam by way of RNAcentral. Lineage: Eukaryota; Viridiplantae; Streptophyta; Magnoliopsida; Poales; Poaceae.
AAAAACUUAAUUUCUGGAUUUUCGUGUCUAACAUUUGACCGUCCGUCUUAUUUAAAAAAUUAUGAAAAAAUUUAAAAAGAUAAGUCAUGCAUAAAGUAUUAUUCAUGUUUUAUCAUCUAACAAUAAUGCAAAUAUUAAUCAUAAAACAAUUUCUAUAAAACGGACGGUCAAACGUUGCACACGAAAACCCAG